UGAACCACAGCAAGCGCCACACCGCUAAGAAGGAGACGGCGUUGCCCCCACUUGUCCACAAGCUGCUCUUCGAUUCAUCACAAGCCAGCACAGGGGAACCACUGACAGCACAGCUGGUGCAUCGCAAGGAACUCGAGGCCCUCCUCGCUGGCUUGGAGAAGAAGAUCCUCUCAGAUGCUUCACUUUAUCCUGGUCCGGCAAUGGAGGCACACUCGGCAGCUGUCAGAGCAGGGAUUAUUAAGGAAGUGGAAAGCAUUGUGGAGCAAGCCCUGAAACU
Molecule: long non-coding RNA, 277 nt
Organism: Amblyraja radiata (thorny skate)
Lineage: Eukaryota; Metazoa; Chordata; Chondrichthyes; Rajiformes; Rajidae
Exons: 3
Source: RefSeq, a predicted model, not a curated record